UACGAAGGGGGCUAGCGUUGCUCGGAAUUACUGGGCGUAAAGGGCGCGUAGGCGGAUAGUUUAGUCAGAGGUGAAAGCCCAGGGCUCAACCCUGGAAUUGCCUUUGAUACUGGCUAUCUUGAGUUCGGGAGAGGUGAGUGGAACUCCGAGUGUAGAGGUGAAAUUCGUAGAUAUUCGCAAGAACACCAGUGGCGAAGGCGGCUCACUGGCCCGAUACUGACGCUGAGGCACGAAAGCGUGGGGAGCAAACAGG
This 253-nucleotide ribosomal RNA is filed under the name uncultured bacterium. RNAcentral's name for it is "partial 16S ribosomal RNA". It matches the Rfam family "Bacterial small subunit ribosomal RNA", at positions 524 to 776 of the family's 1533-position model. The record is from RNAcentral.